AGAGCGAACGCUGGCGGCAGGCCUAAAACAUGCAAGUCGAACGAACCCUUCGGGGUUAGUGGCGGACGGGUGAGUAACACGUGGGAACGUGCCCUUUGGUUCGGAACAACUCAGGGAAACUUGAGCUAAUACCGGAUGUGCCCUUCGGGGGAAAGAUUAUCGCCAUUGGAGCGGCCCGCGUCUGAUUAGCUAGUUGGUGAGGUAAAGGCUCACCAAGGCGACGAUCAGUAGCUGGUCUGAGAGGAUGAUCAGCCACACUGGGACUGAGACACGGCCCAGACUCCUACGGGAGGCAGCAGUUAGGAAUCUUGCGCAAUGGGCGAAAGCCUGACGCAGCCAUGCCGCGUGAAUGAUGAAGGUCUUAGGAUUGUAAAAUUCUUUCAGCAGGGAAGAUAAUGACGGUACCUGCAGAAGAAGCUCCGGCUAACUUCGUGCCAGCAGCCGC
Molecule: ribosomal RNA, 445 nt
Filed under: uncultured bacterium
Lineage: Bacteria
Description: SSU rRNA
Rfam family: Bacterial small subunit ribosomal RNA
Source: RNAcentral